GAUGAACGCUGGCGGCGUGCCUAAUACAUGCAAGUCGAGCGAACAGACGAGGAGCUUGCUCCUCUGACGUUAGCGGCGGACGGGUGAGUAACACGUGGAUAACCUACCUAUAAGACUGGGAUAACUUCGGGAAACCUGAGCUAAUACCGGAUAAUAUAUUGAACCGCAUGGUUCAAUAGUGAAAGACGGUUUUGCUGUCACUUAUAGAUUGAUCCGCGCCGCAUUAGCUAGUUGGUAAGGUAACGGCUUACCAAGGCAACGAUGCGUAGCCGACCUGAGAGGGUGAUCGGCCACACUGGAACUGAGACACGGUCCAGACUCCUACGGGAGGCAGCAGUAGGGAAUCUUCCGCAAUGGGCGAAAGCUUGACGGAGCAACGCCGCGUGAGUGAUGAAGGUCUUCGGAUCGUAAAACUCUGUUAUUAGGGAAGAACAAAUGUGUAAGUAACUAUGCACGUCUUGACGGUACCUAAUCAGAAAGCCACGGCUAACUACGUG
This 497-nucleotide ribosomal RNA is filed under the name uncultured bacterium. RNAcentral's name for it is "partial 16S ribosomal RNA". It matches the Rfam family "Bacterial small subunit ribosomal RNA", at positions 28 to 507 of the family's 1533-position model. The record is from RNAcentral.